Small nuclear RNA from Erinaceus europaeus (western European hedgehog), 166 nucleotides. Its record names the gene U1. It matches the Rfam family "U1 spliceosomal RNA". Rfam says of the family: U1 is a small nuclear RNA (snRNA) component of the spliceosome (involved in pre-mRNA splicing). Lineage: Eukaryota; Metazoa; Chordata; Mammalia; Eulipotyphla; Erinaceidae. The record is from Ensembl.
CUAUUUACCUGGUAGGGGAAACACCAUAAACAUGAAGGUGGUUUUUUCAAGGGUGAGCUUCAUCUGUUGUAUCCCAGAUGUGUUUACCUCUGCGACUUCCCAAAUGUGGAGAACAUUACUGCAUGGUUUGUGAUAAUGGAGCACUGUGCUUUUGCUCUGUGCUGGU